RNAcentral lists this ribosomal RNA (429 nucleotides) under Gemmatimonadota bacterium. Its description in RNAcentral is "Gemmatimonadetes bacterium partial 16S ribosomal RNA". It matches the Rfam family "Bacterial small subunit ribosomal RNA", at positions 355 to 776 of the family's 1533-position model. Lineage: Bacteria; Pseudomonadati; Gemmatimonadota. The record is from RNAcentral.
UAGGGAAUCUUCGGCAAUGGACGAAAGUCUGACCGAGCAACGCCGCGUGAGUGAAGAAGGUUUUCGGAUCGUAAAACUCUGUUGUUAGAGAAGAACAAGGACGUUAGUAACUGAACGUCCCCUGACGGUAUCUAACCAGAAAGCCACGGCUAACUACGUGCCAGCAGCCGCGGUAAUACGUAGGUGGCAAGCGUUGUCCGGAUUUAUUGGGCGUAAAGCGAGCGCAGGCGGUUUCUUAAGUCUGAUGUGAAAGCCCCCGGCUCAACCGGGGAGGGUCAAUGGAAACUGGGAGACUUGAGUGCAGAAGAGGGGAGUGGAAUUCCAUGUGUAGCGGUGAAAUGCGUAGAUAUAUGGAGGAACACCAGUGGCGAAGGCGCCUCUCUGGUCUGUAACUGACGCUGAGGCUCGAAAGCGUGGGGAGCAAACAGG